Passer domesticus (house sparrow) is the source of this 1195-nucleotide long non-coding RNA. RefSeq lists it as uncharacterized. The transcript is spliced from 2 exons. The record is from RefSeq and is a predicted model, not a curated record. NCBI's taxonomy places the organism in Eukaryota, Metazoa, Chordata, Aves, Passeriformes, Passeridae.
GUUUGCACCCUUGUCCUUUAAAAGGAAGGUCAUGGAGCUUGCUUUUGGGGGAAGUUGAGCACAGGUAGAAAGAUUAGGCUUUUGGAACAAGAAGGUGCUUUAGCCUUGGUUCUCUCAGUUCAACAGGCUGACUGGGUGCUUGGAAAAAGUUUAUCUUUGAAGUGCCAGUUUCAAUUGGAUUAAUUUCCUUGAGAAAUCCUAUGAACUUCUGGAAGAUUUUGUUUCAGUUAGGGUUGAGCAUGGCUGUCUCUUCUUCUAGAGAUAACUAAUUUUCAUUUGAUUUAGAUGUAUUUUUCUUAGUUUGCUUAUAAUCUGGCUUCAAGCAAAAGUGGAAAAAACCCACAAACAAACUCAGAGCUCCUUUUUCACUGCCCUGUCAUAGCACCAGGUUUGUGGGUUUGUAACCUGUGUGUAGAACAAGAAAAUCCUUCUUGGAUCUUCAGAAGCCUGGAGGAAAAAACUAAAACCUUUCUGCUGUGCAAGCCAUCUGAGAGGCCUCAUUCAGGGUCAUCCAGUGCUGUGUGGGGAGACAGAGCCUCGCUCGUGACCAGAGGAAAUGGAAAUGUGUGUCUGAGUGGAAACCACAGCUCCUGUGCUGGCCUGGAGCAUCCUUCUCCUGCCUGGUAUUUCCCACUCAGCAGCAAUCCAUGCUGGAGCACAGUGAUCCCAGGGAUGUCUGCAUAGCUGAAGGUCUCUCUGGCCUCCUCACCUGAAUCCAUAACCAAAAUGACUUCAGCAGUGAUGGAAUCCCUCUGAAAGUUUGAUUCUGGACAGUUCAUCAGCUGGUGGCACAAACUGCUUUGCAUAGUUGUGCUGAAGGAGAGGAGCUGACCUUACACAGAACUGAGUCACUGCCCAGGGAUGGGGAAACUUCUCCUGACAUCCAUGCUGGGCCAAGGUGGGAGGGAGAAGUGCUGGGGAUUACAGUGGGGAUUACAGCUCAGGAACAUGGAAUACCUCUUUACAACAAACAAAACAACAAAGUCAUUCACAUCAAAUGCAGUAAUCAACCUAGGAGCAGUCCCUGCUUUACUGGAGAGGAGAGAUGGGAACAGAAGAUAUUGAGCUGCAGAGGGGACGUGUGAGCCUGGGGUACCAACCAGCCCAGCUGCUCUCUGUGACUGCACUAACAGUGAGGAAAUCCCAGCUUUAUUACACAGACCAGCUCGCCUGGCUGUGUUGGCAGGGCUGUGGC